GACGAACGCUGGCGGCGUGCCUAAUACAUGCAAGUAGAACGCUGAAGAGAGGAGCUUGCUCUUCUUGGAUGAGUUGCGAACGGGUGAGUAACGCGUAGGUAACCUGCCUUGUAGCGGGGGAUAACUAUUGGAAACGAUAGCUAAUACCGCAUAACAAUGGAUGACACAUGUCAUUUAUUUGAAAGGGGCAAUUGCUCCACUACAAGAUGGACCUGCGUUGUAUUAGCUAGUAGGUGAGGUAAUGGCUCACCUAGGCGACGAUACAUAGCCGACCUGAGAGGGUGAUCGGCCACACUGGGACUGAGACACGGCCCAGACUCCUACGGGAGGCAGCAGUAGGGAAUCUUCGGCAAUGGGGGCAACCCUGACCGAGCAACGCCGCGUGAGUGAAGAAGGUUUUCGGAUCGUAAAGCUCUGUUGUAAGUCAAGAACGGGUGUGAGAGUGGAAAGUUCACACGGUGACGGUAGCUUACCAGAAAGGGACGGCUAACUACGUG
This 497-nucleotide ribosomal RNA is filed under the name uncultured bacterium. Its description in RNAcentral is "partial 16S ribosomal RNA". It matches the Rfam family "Bacterial small subunit ribosomal RNA", at positions 28 to 507 of the family's 1533-position model. The record is from RNAcentral.